GACGAACGCUGGCGGCGUGCUUAACACAUGCAAGUCGAGCGGUAAGGCCCUUUCGGGGGUACACGAGCGGCGAACGGGUGAGUAACACGUGGGUGACCUGCCCUCAGCUCUGGGAUAAGCCCGGGAAACUGGGUCUAAUACCGGAUAUGACUCCAUGACGCAUGUUGUGGGGUGGAAAGCCUUGUGCGGCUGAGGAUGGGGCCCGCGGCCUAUCAGCUUGUUGGUGGGGUGAUGGCCACCAAGGCGACGACGGGUAGCCGGCCUGAGAGGGCGACCGGCCACACUGGGACUGAGAUACGGCCCAGACUCCUACGGGAGGCAGCAGGUGGGGAAUCUUGCGCAAUGGGCGAAAGCCUGAUGCAGCGACG
RNAcentral lists this ribosomal RNA (368 nucleotides) under uncultured bacterium. RNAcentral describes it as "bacterial SSU rRNA". It matches the Rfam family "Bacterial small subunit ribosomal RNA", at positions 28 to 396 of the family's 1533-position model. The record is from RNAcentral.